This 497-nucleotide ribosomal RNA is filed under the name uncultured bacterium. Its description in RNAcentral is "partial 16S ribosomal RNA". It matches the Rfam family "Bacterial small subunit ribosomal RNA", at positions 28 to 507 of the family's 1533-position model. The record is from RNAcentral.
GAUGAACGCUGGCGGCGUGCCUAAUACAUGCAAGUCGAGCGAACAGACGAGGAGCUUGCUCCUCUGACGUUAGCGGCGGACGGGUGAGUAACACGUGGAUAACCUACCUAUAAGACUGGGAUAACUUCGGGAAACCGGCGCUAAUACCGGAUAAUAUAUUGCACCGCAUGGGUCAAUAGUGAAAGACGGUUUUGCUGUCACUUAUAGAUGGAUCCGCGCCGCAUUAGCUAGUUGGUAAGGUACCGGCUUACCAAGGCAACGAUGCGUAGCCGACCUGAGAGGGGGGUCGGCCACAUGGGAACGGAGACACGGUCCAGACUCCUACGGGAGGCAGCAGUAGGGAAUCUGCCGCAAUGGGCGAAAGCCUGACGGAGCAACGCCGCGUGAGUGAUGAAGGUCUUCGGAUCGUAAAACUCUGUUAUUAGGGAAGAACAAAUGUGUAAGUAACUAUGCACGUCUUGACGGUACCUAAUCAGAAAGCCACGGCUAACUACGUG